Molecule: long non-coding RNA, 2011 nt
Organism: Oreochromis aureus
Lineage: Eukaryota; Metazoa; Chordata; Actinopteri; Cichliformes; Cichlidae
Source: Ensembl
GUGAAAAGUAAGAUGGAUCACAGGUGGAGGAGGACGAGGCUAAAUCAGCUGAAAAACCAGCAGAAGCCUUUUUUCUUCUUUUUCAGGUAUUUUUCCAUGAGCUCUUCUUUCUCCAGGAUAAGGGUUCUCAACUGAUCGUUUGUUUCUGCAUUUUCCUUCUCGAGUUGCUGGCAUCUUUGCUCCAUUUCUUUUAAUCCUGCUUGUUUUUUUCUAAGCUUUUCUUUCAGGUCUUUGUAUGUUGCCUCCUCCAUUAGAUUUGCCUUGCACAUGUCUGUAUUUCUCUCUUGUUUUUUGUUGUGCAUCUCUACUAACAGCUCAUUUCUUCUCUGGAUUUCUUGACUCGUGCGCUGCAGGUCUUCAUGUAUUUUCUGUUGUUGUUGCUUUUGUGCCUGCAUUUCAGUUAUUUGGCUCUUCAAGUCAUUGAACUUCAACAACAUCUCAUUAAUGAUCUCUGAGUAUUUUCUCUUCAUUCCAUCGAUCCUACGCUGCAUCUUUGAACAUCGUUUUUCCAGUAUUUCCUUUUCUCUUUCCAGUUCAGGUGUUUUGUCCUUCAUUUUAUUACAAAAUUCUUGCAAUUCUAGAUUCCUUCUCUCAAAGUCCUGGAGAAUACGUUUUUCUUCUUCCUCUUGCUUUCUUUCUUCAAGAAGCUCUUUACUUUUGCACUUUGUUUCAUCAAACCUGACUUUCAGUGCUCUGUGUUUUUCCUUCAUACCUUUGAGUUUGUGUUGCAUUUGUAUUUCCUGUUCAGUCUUCUGUCGGUGGAUUUUUUUCAAUUGUUUUCUCCGCUUCAUUGAGCUUUCCUUGAAGCACCUGAUUCUGUUGCUCCAUGUUUUGGAGAUGCCACUGUAUCUCCUCAAUAGUAGCCUUCUUUCCUUGAAGCUGGGCAGAUGUUUCUUUUAACUCAGCACUCUGUGUUCCUGAUGAAAGAAAACGAGAAAAAGUCUUCUCUCAUCCUUGACCAAACUUCACUCCCCAGCCCUUGUUGAUCAUUUUUAUAUCAGGCUGGCGUUGCUGUUUUUCUUCCAGGUCUUUAUUUCAUGCUUCCAGUUGUCUGCACUUCUCCUCUAGUUGAAGUUUCUCUUCUUCAAUUUGUUUAAUUUUGUAAUGUAGGUCGGAGUUUUCCUUCUGACUUUCCUGUAAUGCCCUUUGGACUGAUAAGACACCACCCGUGGUCAUUUCUCCUGGAGAGAUUGGCCGGCCAGAACACAAAGAACAGGCAGCAUAAUCUUUUUUUCUUUCUCGGCGUUUUCGUGGACGCAUGUUGGAGCCUGUGCACAGUGACUCUGAAAAGGCUUAGAAAUAUUUCCAAAUGUGUCUCUGGUCCAACGUUUGAAGGCUGGGAACAAACUGUGGCUGCAUUAAAUGUUGGCCUGUCCUGUAUUAGGCAUUCAGGAUUUUCUUUGAUGGCCAUUUAGCUCUUAUGGCAUGAACUUGCUCAGUGCAUUAUUAUUUGCUUUUCUACGGUCUGAUAUUUGUUUACUAAUUGAUCGAUACAGUGCAUUAAAUAAGAUGUUAAAAACAUCAUCAUAUCAAACAUGAUCGAUUUGGGGGGAGUUUGUUUGGCACAUGCUGACUGCAUUCUAAUUCUAACCAGAACAGGAGGCGAGAGCAGAGAACAAGAGUGCAGCAGUUUGGUGAAAGGAACAGGAAAGGUGAAGAAGAGGUGAGCAUCCAAAAGACGAGCAAGAGGACAGUUUCAAAGGAGACAUUAUGGCACAAUAAAAGCUUGAAAAACUCACCUGAUGUAGUGGUAAGGCCAUGUUCACCACUAGAUGGAGACAACCUGGCACAGGUUAAUUUUUCAAAAAAGGCCUGGGUCGUGUAGCAGCCAACAACUCCUCCAGAGAGGCUGUCCUGGUGAGGGAGAAGUUCAUGGCCCCCUUCUCGGCUGAGGGAGCAGCAUCUUGGCAGCCAAAAGAAAAGUCGAUUUGAAGUCCCAGCGACUUCCCCACAACGGCUCUGAGCCACCCACAAACCUCUAAAGAGCGUUCCUGCUUUUUAAAAAUUUUCU